This 865-nucleotide ribosomal RNA is filed under the name Eusphyra blochii. RNAcentral's name for it is "partial 16S large subunit ribosomal RNA". The stretch from base 191 to 695 matches the Rfam family "Bacterial large subunit ribosomal RNA", at positions 573 to 1301 of the family's 2925-position model. The record is from RNAcentral. Lineage: Eukaryota; Metazoa; Chordata; Chondrichthyes; Carcharhiniformes; Sphyrnidae.
ACCUCAAAGCUAGCCUAUAUAUCAACUUCAACUAGACCUAAUAAAUCUAAUUCACACUAUAAUUUUUUAACCAAAACAUUCUUAACCUUUUAGUAUGGGCGACAGAACAAUAACUUCAGCGCAAUAGCUUAUGUACCGCAAGGGAAAGCUGAAAAAGAAAUGAAAUAAAUUAUUAAAGUACUAAAAAGCAGAGAUUACAUCUCGUACCUUUUGCAUCAUGAUUUAGCUAGAAAAACUAGGCAAAAAGAUCUUAAGUCUAUCCUCCCGAAACUAAACGAGCUACUCCGAAGCAGCAUUAUAGAGCUAACCCGUCUCUGUGGCAAAAGAGUGGGAAGACUUCCGAGUAGCGGUGAAAAGCCUACCGAGUUUAGUGAUAGCUGGUUACCCAAAAAAAGAACUUCAAUUCUGCAUUAAUUUUUUAAUUACCUAGACAAGACUCUCCUUAUCAAAGGAACUCAUAAGAAUUAAUAGUUAUUUAGAAGAGGUACAGCCCUUCUAAACCAAGAUACAACUUUUUAAGAUGGGAAAUGAUCAUAAUUACCAAGGUAAUCCCCUCAGUGGGCCUAAAAGCAGCCACCUGUAAAGCAAGCGUCGCAGCUCCAGCUCAAUAACCAAACCCUUAAUCCCGAUACCCACUCACUACCCUCCUUACUUAUUGGGUUAUUUUAUAAAAAUAUAAAAGAACUUAUGCUAAAAUGAGUAAUAAAGAGAAUAUAUCUCUCCUAACACAAGUGUAUGUCAGAAGAAUUAAAUCACUGAUAAUUAAACGGCCCCAAACUGAGGCUACUAUACUAUUUAAACAUCAACCAGAAAACCCUAUUCUUCCACCCGUUAACCCUACACAGGAGUGUUACCAGGAAAGAUU